RNAcentral lists this ribosomal RNA (468 nucleotides) under uncultured bacterium. Its description in RNAcentral is "partial 16S ribosomal RNA". It matches the Rfam family "Bacterial small subunit ribosomal RNA", at positions 28 to 507 of the family's 1533-position model. The record is from RNAcentral.
GACGAACGCUGGCGGCGUGCUUAACACAUGCAAGUCGAACGGAAAGGCCCUGCUUUUGUGGGGUGCUCGAGUGGCGAACGGGUGAGUAACACGUGAGUAACCUGCCCUUGACUUUGGGAUAACUUCAGGAAACUGGGGCUAAUACCGGAUAGGAGCUCCUGCUGCCUGGUGGGGGUUGGAAAGUUUCGGCGGUUGGGGAUGGACUCGCGGCUUAUCAGCUUGUUGGUGGGGUAGUGGCUUACCAAGGCUUUGACGGGUAGCCGGCCUGAGAGGGUGACCGGCCACAUUGGGACUGAGAUACGGCCCAGACUCCUACGGGAGGCAGAAGUGGGGAAUAUUGCACAAUGGGCGGAAGCCUGAUGCAGCAACGCCGCGUGCGGGAUGACGGCCUUCGGGUUGUAAACCGCUUUCGCCUGUGACGAAGCGUGAGUGACGGUAAUGGGUAAAGAAGCACCGGCUAACUACGUG